This 509-nucleotide ribosomal RNA is filed under the name uncultured bacterium. RNAcentral describes it as "partial 16S ribosomal RNA". It matches the Rfam family "Bacterial small subunit ribosomal RNA", at positions 30 to 523 of the family's 1533-position model. The record is from RNAcentral.
AUUGAACGCUGGCGGCAUGCCUAACACAUGCAAGUCGAACGGCAGCACAGUGUGUAGUAAUACACAUGGGUGGCGAGUGGCGGACGGGUGAGUAUAAAGUAGGAAUCUGCCUUAUAGACGGGGAUAACUUGGGGAAACUCGAGCUAAUACCGGAUAAGCACUACGGUGGAAAGUAUGGGACCGCAAGGCCAUACGCUAUAAGAUGAGCCUACGUCGGAUUAGUUAGUUGGUUGGGUAAAGGCUGACCAAGACAAAGAUCCGUAGCUGGUCUGAGAGGAUGAUCAGCCACACUGGGACUGAGACACGGCCCAGACUCCUACGGGAGGCAGCAGUGGGGAAUAUUGGACAAUGGGGGAAACCCUGAUCCAGCGAUGCCGCGUGUGCGAAGAAGGCCUGCGGGUUGUAAAGCACUUUAGUUGGGGAAGAAUGAGUGUAAUUCGAAUAGAGUUACGCAGUGACGUUACCCAAAGAAUAAGCACCGGCUAACUCUGUGCCAGCCGCCGCGGUAA